UGCCACAGUCGAAUCACUCUGCAGCUGAAGACCAAUUACUCACUGAAGCUAAGCAGAGCUGAGCCUGGUCAGUACCUGGAUGGGAGACCACAUGGGAACACUAGGUUACUGUUAGAA
Molecule: ribosomal RNA, 117 nt
Filed under: Danio rerio (zebrafish)
Lineage: Eukaryota; Metazoa; Chordata; Actinopteri; Cypriniformes; Danionidae
Source: RNAcentral